UUUAACGGCCGCGGUAUCCUAACCGUGCAAAGGUAGCGCAAUCAAUUGCCCCAUAAAUGGGGGCCCGUAUGAAUGGCUAAACGAGGUCUUAACUGUCUCUUACAGGCGAUCGGUGAAAUUGAUCUCCCUGUGCAAAAGCAGGGAUAAACCCAUAAGACGAGAAGACCCUGUGGAACUUUAAAAUCAGCGACCACCCCACAACACAUCCACACCCACUGGGUUCACGCACUUGCAAACCGCUGGUCCGCAUUUUUCGGUUGGGGCGACCUUGGAGAAAAACAGAUCCUCCAAAAAUUAGACCAUCCAUCUAGACUGAGAGCAACCCCUCAACGUGCUAAUAGCAACCAGACCCAAUAUAAUUGAUCAAUGGACCAAGCUACCCCAGGGAUAACAGCGCAAUCUCCUCCGAGAGUCCAUAUCGACGGGGAGGUUUACGACCUCGAUGUUGGAUCAGGACAUCCUAGUGGUGCAGCCGCUACUAA
This 482-nucleotide ribosomal RNA is filed under the name Oriolus oriolus (Eurasian golden-oriole). RNAcentral's name for it is "partial 16S ribosomal RNA". It matches the Rfam family "Bacterial large subunit ribosomal RNA", at positions 1923 to 2568 of the family's 2925-position model. The record is from RNAcentral. Lineage: Eukaryota; Metazoa; Chordata; Aves; Passeriformes; Corvidae.